AAAAUCAAGAAAUAUUAAAAGUAAAACAAAUUUUAUCCAAAGUCCAAAAAUUAUCGCAAUAAAGCUAAAAAGUCGUUCUGUGCAAGAUGUGGAUAAAACAGGUUUAUUAAUAGAGCUGAAGGAACAUCAGAAGAUUUAGUUCAAUGAAAGCACAUACUAAUAGAGCAAAUAUCAAGAUAAACUGUUUUGGGACUAUAGGGUUAAAUUUUUGAUUGCUAUAUGAAGUAUAUUGGGACUACGAAAAAAAGAAGAAAAAAUUACACUGACAGUAUUUAUUUUCAUUUAAAG
Molecule: long non-coding RNA, 288 nt
Organism: Cimex lectularius (bed bug)
Lineage: Eukaryota; Metazoa; Arthropoda; Insecta; Hemiptera; Cimicidae
Exons: 3
Source: RefSeq, a predicted model, not a curated record